RNAcentral lists this ribosomal RNA (402 nucleotides) under uncultured bacterium. Its description in RNAcentral is "bacterial SSU rRNA". It matches the Rfam family "Bacterial small subunit ribosomal RNA", at positions 356 to 773 of the family's 1533-position model. The record is from RNAcentral.
GGGGAAUAUUGCGCAAUGGGGGCAACCCUGACGCAGCAAUACCGCGUGAGUGAAGAAGGUUUUCGGAUCGUAAAGCUCUGUUAUUGGGGAAGAAAAAAAGACGGUACCCAAGAAGAAAGUUCCGGCUAACUACGUGCCAGCAGCCGCGGUAAUACGUAGGGAACAAGCGUUGUCCGGAUUUACUGGGCGUAAAGGGCACGCAGGCGGUUUCUUAAGUCAGAUGUGAAAGGCCACAGCUCAACUGUGGACAUGCAUUUGAAACUGAGAGACUUGAGUAUUGGAGAGGCAAGUGGAAUUCCUAGUGUAGCGGUGAAAUGCGUAGAUAUUAGGAGGAACACCGGUGGCGAAGGCGGCUUGCUGGACAAAUACUGACGCUGAGGUGCGAAAGCGUGGGGAGCAAAC